Molecule: non-coding RNA, 181 nt
Filed under: Candidatus Rokuibacteriota
Lineage: Bacteria
Source: RNAcentral
GCGUUGACGUAGCGUCCGGGCGCCCGUGAGGGCCCAGGGAAGGCGGUGCGAAUCCGCCGCGACCCCGUCACUGUGAUCGGGGACGAAACCCGCGAGGAAGCCACUGGCCCGUACGGCCGGGAAGGCGCGGGGAGUAGGACGAUCCGAGAGCCAGGAGACCUGCCCGGGUGCGUAUCUACGA